Small nucleolar RNA from Cimex lectularius (bed bug), 72 nucleotides. RefSeq annotates it as small nucleolar RNA SNORD18. Lineage: Eukaryota; Metazoa; Arthropoda; Insecta; Hemiptera; Cimicidae. The transcript has a single exon. The record is from RefSeq and is a predicted model, not a curated record.
UUUACAUGAUGAACACCACUUUAUGGCCCGUGUUUAUGAGAUAAUUUGAUUAUGAAGUGCAAAUCUGAAAAA